AGUGAACGCUGGCGGUAGGCCUAACACAUGCAAGUCGAACGGCAGCACAGUAAGAGCUUGCUCUUACGGGUGGCGAGUGGCGGACGGGUGAGGAAUACAUCGGAAUCUACUUUUUCGUGGGGGAUAACGUAGGGAAACUUACGCUAAUACCGCAUACGACCUACGGGUGAAAGCAGGGGAUCUUCGGACCUUGCGCGAUUGAAUGAGCCGAUGUCGGAUUAGCUAGUUGGCGGGGUAAAGGCCCACCAAGGCGACGAUCCGUAGCUGGUCUGAGAGGAUGGUAAGACACACUGGAAGGAAACUGCGAAACGGGCACGUCUGGGACGCGCCAGAGGGGUAGGGUGUACAAGGCCAUGAGGGAUGGACCGAUCCAGUCGUGGGAAGGAAAAGAAGCAGGCUGGUGGGGUUGUGUUCUGUGGGGAAGAAAGAGAAAAACGCGAGUAGAGUGGUGUGCUGACGGUACGUAAAGAAUAAGCACCGGCUAACUUCGUG
This 492-nucleotide ribosomal RNA is filed under the name uncultured bacterium. Its description in RNAcentral is "partial 16S ribosomal RNA". It matches the Rfam family "Bacterial small subunit ribosomal RNA", at positions 30 to 507 of the family's 1533-position model. The record is from RNAcentral.